GGAGGAAAGCAGGGGAUCGCAAGACCUUGUGCUUUUAGAGCGGCCGAUGCCUGAUUAGCUUGUUGGUGAGGUAAAAGCUUACCAAGGCUUCGAUCAGUAGCUGGUCUGAGAGGACGGCCAGCCACACUGGGACUGAGACACGGCCCAGACUCCUACGGGAGGCAGCAGUGGGGAAUUUUGGACAAUGGGGGCAACCCUGAUCCAGCCAUGCCGCGUGAGUGAAGAAGGCCUUCGGGUUGUAAAGCUCUUUCAGCCGGAACGAAACGGUUACGGUUAAUACCCGUAACUACUGACGGUACCGGAAGAAGAAGCACCGGCUAACUACGUGCCAGCAGCCGCGGUAAUACGUAGGGUGCGAGCGUUAAUCGGAAUUACUGGGCGUAAAGCGUGCGCAGGUGGUUUUGUAAGUCAGAUGUGAAAUCCCCGGGC
This 429-nucleotide ribosomal RNA is filed under the name uncultured ammonia-oxidizing beta proteobacterium. RNAcentral describes it as "bacterial SSU rRNA". It matches the Rfam family "Bacterial small subunit ribosomal RNA", at positions 198 to 608 of the family's 1533-position model. Lineage: Bacteria; Pseudomonadati; Pseudomonadota; Betaproteobacteria. The record is from RNAcentral.